Molecule: ribosomal RNA, 526 nt
Filed under: uncultured bacterium
Lineage: Bacteria
Description: bacterial SSU rRNA
Rfam family: Bacterial small subunit ribosomal RNA
Source: RNAcentral
GAGUUUGAUCCUGGCUCAGAUUGAACGCUGGCGGCAGGCUUAACACAUGCAAGUCGAACGGUAACGGGAAGAAAGCUUGCUUUCUUUGCUGACGAGUGGCGGACGGGUGAGUAAUGCUUGGGAAUCUGUCUUAUGGAGGGGGAUAACGACGGGAAACUGUCGCUAAUACCGCGUAAAAUCCGAGGAUUAAAGGCCGGGACCGAUAGGCCGGUUGCCAUAAGAUGAGCCCAAGUGGGAUUAGGUAGUUGGUGAGGUAAAGGCUCACCAAGCCUGCAAUCUCUAGCUGGUCUGAGAGGAUGACCAGCCACACUGGAACUGAGACACGGUCCAGACUCCUACGGGAGGCAGCAGUGGGGAAUAUUGCGCAAUGGGGGCAACCCUGACGCAGCCAUGCCGCGUGAAUGAAGAAGGCCUUCGGGUUGUAAAGUUCUUUCGGUGAUGAGGAAGGCGAUUGCUUUAAUAGAGCAGUUGAUUGACGUUAGUCACAGAAGAAGCACCGGCUAACUCCGUGCCAGCAGCCGCGGUA